RNAcentral lists this ribosomal RNA (251 nucleotides) under uncultured bacterium. RNAcentral describes it as "partial 16S ribosomal RNA". It matches the Rfam family "Bacterial small subunit ribosomal RNA", at positions 524 to 775 of the family's 1533-position model. The record is from RNAcentral.
UACGGAGGAUGCGAGCGUUAUCCGGAUUUAUUGGGUUUAAAGGGUGCGUAGGCGGAGUGUCAAGUCAGCGGUAAAAUUUCGGGGCUCAACCCCGUCGUGCCGUUGAAACUGACACCCUUGAGUGAGUGAGAAGUAAGCGGAAUGCGUGGUGUAGCGGUGAAAUGCAUAGAUAUCACGCAGAACGCCGAUUGCGAAGGCAGCUUACCGGCGCUCAACUGACGCUGAGGCACGAAAGUGCGGGUAUCGAACAG